UUUUGAGUUAAUUUUUAUGUCCUGAGUCAUAUGUCCGGGCCACAAUGCAGACUGAGUAGGAGAGGAUUUAGAACCAGAACAUAGAGUGCACACAGGUCGCCAUAGACACAGAUGCGCAUCACACUUGGAGAAGUGACUUACCCUAUAACCUUGACUAUUCUCACCUGUAAAACAUGGAGUAUGAUUGUGUGUUAAUACUUUCAAUCUCAAAGGACUGUGACGACUGAAUGCUGCUUGCUCUGCCUGUGACAGCUUUCCCCAGCUUCCACCUCUCCAGUCAAAAGUUUUAAAGAAGGAAGACUACCUCCAAAGAACAAGGAAUGCAGUACCAGUGCCCGUUUUUAUGAGUGAAUCUCAAGUGGAAGGUGACAGACAGCAGAACAAACACUAUAAAGCAUAGUGGCUAAGAAGACAAGCUUUGGAAUCCAGCAGGGCAGCAUUCAAAUUCGGCUUCUCUCAUUUAUUGGCCUCCUCCCUGGGAUAACACACCGUGGUAAGAUCCAUGAGAAGCAUGCCUUUCUGCUGCAAAACAGGAGAAAAAUGGCUGUGAGAGGAGAGGUAGAAAUCCACGGCUAGUAGAUAGACUCUUAGUCCCGUCACUUUUGGAGAAGUCCACCUAUGGAAUUGAGAUCUUGAAAUUGCUAUCCUUGCCCCAGCUAACAUCUGGAAAGCCUUCCUUUUCUUUAAUUUGAAGAUUACGACUUAAAUCUUCCACCUUGUUUUUUCCACCAUCUCUGUUAAAAUUUUGAUGUGAUCGUGUAAAAUCACUGAGUUGCAAAACGUUUGGAGACAGGAUAUGUUGUCCAGAUAUUUUUAAUUAAAGAGCUGGAAGUGAAUUCUGAAAACUACAUUUGUAUGUCUGAAUUCAAUAACUCACAAAUUUUUUUUAAUUUAAAAAACUUUUUUUUUAGAGAUUGGCACCUAAGCUAACAACUGUUGCCAAUCUUCUUUUCUUCUCCUUCUUCUCCCCAAAGCCUCCCAGUACCUAGUUGGAUAUUCUAAUUGCGAGUGCCUCUGGUUGUGCUAUGAGGGAUGCUGCCUUAGCAUGGCUUGACAAGUCAUGCCAUGUCCGCGCCCAGGAUCCAAACUGGCGAAACCCUCUGCCGGUGAAGAGGAGUGCGUGAACUUAACCACCUGGCCACGGGGUUGGCCCACUCACAGAAAAUUUGACCAAAUUCUUAAAUAGUUGACUUAUGAGGCCCAGGGCACCAGUGAUAUUGAUUGCCUCAAUCACAUCGACUUGGCCUUAUCUCCGAUCCCAUUCAAGUCUUGGGUAAAUGGUACCAUGCAGACAUCCCAGGCCAAGAUUACUUUAAGCUGACAGGUCCUCAUGUCACAUACAUGUCAUCAUUUCAUUUUCAGCCCUGGGACGACUCCUCCGCAGUGGACACUUGCAGCAGCAAAAAUGCUUCAGAAACAUGGGGAAGUUAUUCAGGAGCAAUCUUCAACCAGUGAAAAGUAAGCUCUGACGGACAGGCAAAUACCAUUUCAAAGCAUUCUGUGGCUUUUUGGAAGGUCUCAGCUGAAACAAGCUCCUCAUGCUGGUGACCUGAAUAACUCUCCCUUAUAUGGGCUUUUUCUCCUUCCGCAUCUCACUCUCUAUUUUCCCCAACUCCUAUUCUCUGGGAUAAUAUAAUGAGUUAAUUUCACACAAGACCUUGUUGCAAGCUGUGCAUUCAGAGAAACACAAGCUAAGGUAUUACUAAUAGCAGUAAUCUUAGCAAGCAGACCCUCAGGAUUCCCGAACUGUUUCACUUACUCAAAAAACAGUAAGAAAGGUUCCUCUGCUAACGGGGAAUGAGAUGAUGAUAACGCCUGGCCCCUGACACUUUCGUUAAGAUACUCAUCUGUGGCAGAUUGGAAUAAAGUACAGUUACAGCAAGAAGUGCUUAGACUACGCACUUGAACAAUUUUGUAUUUGCCUUGCUUAGUCAACUACUUUGAAAACUUUGUUAAUUGCUUUGUUAACUUUUUUUAGAAGUCACCUGUAAAGAGAAAGGACAAGUUCAGUUCAAUCAAGUGUCAGCUCAGGAAUGCUGUGACAGCCAGAAUUUCUACAUGGCAGUGUUUAAAAAAGAUUCUUGUGUCAAGGGUCUGGGGUAGACUGGGACAUACCAGUUCACUGAUGGGUCUGAAGAUGGAUUGCUGUUGCUCUACAAACCUACUCAGAGAUAUUCUGAGUUAUAAGUGGUUUAUUGGGUUGUUUUAUUUUAUAUAGAGGAAGGAUCAGCCUGAGGCAAAAAUACACAUAAAUGCCUUGGUAGUGACAAAUGACUUGAAUGGUUCAUCAGAGGCCUUGGAGGAUCUGAUAAAAGGUAAUCAGAGAAGGGGAAUACAAAUAGACCAACAGAAGCUGGCAAAAGACAUACGUAUUUUUGUGUCUCAUGUUAAUGCCCAGCAGAGAUCAUUCACUGCACAAGAAGCACUCAACCAGCCAGGUGGACAGGAGGAUCUUUACUUUAAGGAAAGGAUCAUUACUUCCCAUCCUUCCCAUUGCUUGUGUGAUGAGCCCUUCAAAAGUGGAUCAGUUGUAGAAGAGAUGAAGUCUGUGCAUUGGUUCAGCAGCUUGAGUUCCUUCCAACUAAAGCUCAUCUCACUACUGAAGCUGCGGCUGAAUAUCCAAUUUGUCAUCAGAAAUAUAGAAAAGGAGGAGACUUUUUCAAGCUUACAAGUUACUGUUUCAAAAACAGAGGCACCGUUACUGUGACUUCUGGAAGAGAUUGCUUUUAUGUCAUGAUUUCAACUGAUGUGCCUUCAGAAAGCGUGUGACCUGGAUAAAUCAUGGUGAUGUGUGAGGUGCCACGGCUGAGAUGUGAUUCAUUUCCACAUAGACACAUUGUCUUCAACUUCUACAGUGAAGUUUAUUGAAAAACGCAUUUGUUAAAAAGAUCAACUUUCUUCUCUCAAUAAUUUUUUUCCCUUUGAUGUUAACAUUUAUAGCCCUUACCCUGGCUUUCUACUAGUAUUUCAAAUUAACAUUUGAAAUGACUUCCCUAUAGUGCAGAGCCCGGCACCAGGGAUGGGAACCUCCAUUCACCUUAGGGAGCCCAUGGUGAGCUCUUGAAUCCCAGCUCUACUUUCUUCUCCCAAGAGCUACGAAUUCCUGGCUUUGAAAACC
Long non-coding RNA from Equus caballus (horse), 3118 nucleotides. NCBI's taxonomy places the organism in Eukaryota, Metazoa, Chordata, Mammalia, Perissodactyla, Equidae. The record is from Ensembl.